ACAUUUUCAAAACGCGUCACCCGGCCACCGCCACAGCUGCUGCCCAGCCGCUCGAGCAGGCAGCCGCACGGCCAGUGCACAGCAGACAGCACCGGCAAGCAGCCAAGUAGCUGCUUCUCAUCCGGCGCCAGGUCCAGUGCGCGCGCCUUAUCUGCUGCAGCUGCUUGUCGUCCUCGUUCGUCGUCCCUCGGCACCGGCAGGUCCAGACCGACGCUGCGCUCAGUUUGAAGCUCCUCCAUGGCGUCGGACUGGGACUGGGACAGCGACAGCGACUGUGAAGUACGCAUGAUUAACCAUCCUUGCGAGCGUCGUGCUGGUGCUGCUACUCAAGCAGAGAAAGGAAAGGCUAUGGGCGUUACAUGCUAUGAUGUGAGAGAAAUUGGUGGUGAGCUAGUUCGGUGGAACGCAACUAGGUUUGGUACUGUUUUUAUUUUUCUGCAGAGUUUUUUGGAUAGAAAAGAUAAAUUUAAGUUGUGGAUGGCAUCAGCUGAUUGGGAGAACUGUAAGUGGGCUGGUGAAGAAGAUCAUGAAUUCGCAUAUGAUUGUUUGACAAAAAAUAAAUGGUGGAGUGACAUGGAAAAGGUUUUGAAAGCGGUGUCCCCAAUCUACCCUGUACUUCGUUUAGCUUAUCAACAGAAGAGUGUGUCUAUAUCGUCUUUUCUUCCAAAAAUGAUGAGUGCUAUGGCUAAAAUACGAUCCAAUUUGGGUGAUGAUCCUAUCAACAAAAAUCUGUGUGAUAGAUUAAUGUAAGUAAUCAAUAGAAGACUUGACUAUAUGCUCAAUGAUACUCUUAUGCUUGCAGUUGCUGCCCUUAACCCUGAAGCGCUAUAUACUUCCAAAAUGGCAAGAAAACCGAAGUUCCAACAUGCUGUGACAAUGGCCAUAAAGAAACUUUCAAGCUCAUCUUCAAAGGCUUCAGCUGCAAUUGAUCAAUAUUCUUUCUUCAGAAAGCAAGCUCGGUUAUUUGGAGGAGAAGAGGCUAAAGAUUCAGCACUUAAUGGCCGCGCAAGUGCAGCUGAUUGGUGGGAUCAAUAUGGUGGAGACUAUCCAGAAUUACAAGAGUUUACACGUCAUAUUGUUUCUCAAUGCAUGUCCUCUAGUGGUUGUGAACGUAAUUGGAGUACCUUCGCUUUGGUUCAUACCAAAUUGAGGAAUCGGUUGAGUUAUGAUAAGUUGCAUAAACUGGUUUAUGUUCACUACAACUUGAAGUUGCGCAUUCAACAUUUUGAAACUGAUAUAGAAAGUUUUGAACAAAUGAAAAACUCUAAAGAUAGAAACAUAGAUCCAUGUAGCAUCAUGAUAGAUGUUGCUAUGUAUGAUGAAGGCAACCCGAUUAUGGAAUGGUUGUGCAGUUCUAGGAGUGAAUCAGUGCCGACACUUGAUGAAAAUGAUGAGCCUGAAUCCCCUAACAGACCAAGUGGAUUCGUUUUAGAGGAGUUAGGAGGAUUGAAUGAAGAAGAGAUGGUUCUUUUAAAUUCUAGGAUUGGUUCUGGUAGGAAAAAUGGUAGGAAAAGGAAUGUUGUAGAAGAAGAUAUUGGAGAUGAUUUCUUAUCAGAUAGUAGUGAGGGAGGAGGUAGCCCAACCUACAACGAAUCAGGUGGUGGUGAUGACGAAGAUGGUGAACCUAGUGGUCCAUGUUUUGCAGCUAGGACACAACCUAAAUUAGCUACAGACCAAUAUAAUGGUCCUGGUCAAGAUGAACAAGCAGCGCCUCUCCGUCCAAGAUCAAAAAGGCAGAAGAAGCUCUCCAUCAAGGGCCUGUACAUGCUUCAGAAGUGAUCUAAUCUUCAAGCACAAGCACAAGAAUAUGGCGUA
RNA transcript from Zea mays, 1815 nucleotides. It is a transcript of the gene named protein-like pseudogene, with no coding region annotated. The record is from RefSeq and is marked validated. Lineage: Eukaryota; Viridiplantae; Streptophyta; Magnoliopsida; Poales; Poaceae. The transcript has 8 exons.